Molecule: ribosomal RNA, 253 nt
Filed under: uncultured bacterium
Lineage: Bacteria
Description: partial 16S ribosomal RNA
Rfam family: Bacterial small subunit ribosomal RNA
Source: RNAcentral
UACGAAGGGGGCUAGCGUUGUUCGGAAUUACUGAGCGUAAAGGGCGCGUAGGCGGUACUUCAAGUCAGGCGUGAAAGCCCCGGGCUCAACCUGGGAACCGCGCUUGAGACUGGAGAACUAGAGUUCGGGAGAGGAUGGUGGAAUUCCCAGUGUAGAGGUGAAAUUCGUAGAUAUUGGGAAGAACACCGAUGGCGAAGGCAGCCAUCUGGACCGACACUGACGCUGAGGCGCGAAAGCGUGGGGAGCAAACAGG